GACGAACGCUGGCGGCGUGCUUAACACAUGCAAGUCGAACGGAAAGGCCCUGCUUUUGUGGGGUGCUCGAGUGGCGAACGGGUGAGUAACACGUGAGUAACCUGCCCUUGACUUUGGGAUAACUUCAGGAAACUGGGGCUAAUACCGGAUAGGAGCUCCUGCUGCAUGGUGGGGGUUGGAAAGUUUCGGCGGCUGGGGAUGGACUCGCGGCUUAUCAGCUUGUUGGUGGGGUAGUGGCUUACCAAGGCUUUGACGGGUAGCCGGCCUGAGAGGGUGACCGGCCACAUUGGGACUGAGAUACGGCCCAGACUCCUACGGGAGGCAGCAGUGGGGAAUAUUGCACAAUGGGAGGAAGCCUGAUGCAGCAACGCCGCGUGCGGGAUGACGGCCUUCGGGUUGUAAACCGCUUUCGCCUGUGACGAAGCGUGAGUGACGGUAAUGGGUAAAGAAGCACCGGCUAACUACGUG
Molecule: ribosomal RNA, 468 nt
Filed under: uncultured bacterium
Lineage: Bacteria
Description: partial 16S ribosomal RNA
Rfam family: Bacterial small subunit ribosomal RNA
Source: RNAcentral